CAGGUAGCGGAGCAUGGGGUUUAAUUCGAAGCAACGCGAAGAACCUUACCCAAGCUUGACAUCCCACUGACCUCUCCCUAAUCGGAGAUUUCUCUUCGGGGACAGUGGUGACAGGUGGUGCAUGGUUGUCGUCAGCUCGUGUCGUGAGAUGUUGGGUUAAGUCCCGCAACGAGCGCAACCCUUGCCUUUAGUUGCCAGCAUUAAGUUGGGCACUCUAGAGGGACUGCCAGGGAUAACCUGGAGGAAGGUGGGGAUGACGUCAAAUCAUCAUGCCCCUUAUGCUUAGGGCUACACACGUGCUACAAUGGGUGGUACAGAGGGCAGCCAAGUCGUGAGGCGGAGCUAAUCCCUUAAAGCCAUUCUCAGUUCGGAUUGUAGGCUGAAACUCGCCUAUAUGAAGCUGGAGUUACUAGUAAUCGCAGAUCAGAAUGCUGCGGUGAAUGCGUUCCCGGGUCUUGUACACACC
This 466-nucleotide ribosomal RNA is filed under the name uncultured bacterium. Its description in RNAcentral is "bacterial SSU rRNA". It matches the Rfam family "Bacterial small subunit ribosomal RNA", at positions 926 to 1391 of the family's 1533-position model. The record is from RNAcentral.